AUACGGAGGGUGCAAGCGUUAUUCGGAAUCACUGGGCGUAAAGGACGCGUAGGCGGGUUGGCAAGUCAGAUGUGAAAUCCUACAGCUUAACUGUAGAACUGCAUUUGAAACUGCUAACCUAGAGUAUGGGAGGGGGAGAUGGAAUUAGUGGUGUAGGGGUAAAAUCCGUAGAUAUCACUAGGAAUACCGAAAGCGAAGGCGAUCUCCUGGAACAUAACUGACGCUAAGGCGUGAAAGCGUGGGGAGCAAACAGGAUUAGAAUCCCCAGUAGUCC
Molecule: ribosomal RNA, 274 nt
Filed under: uncultured bacterium
Lineage: Bacteria
Description: partial 16S ribosomal RNA
Rfam family: Bacterial small subunit ribosomal RNA
Source: RNAcentral